CUACGUGCCAGCAGCCGCGGUAAUACGUAGGUGGCAAGCGUUGUCCGGAAUUAUUGGGCGUAAAGCGCGCGCAGGCGGAUUGGUCAGUCUGUCUUAAAAGUUCGGGGCUUAACCCCGUGAUGGGAUGGAAACUGCCAAUCUAGAGUAUCGGAGAGGAAAGUGGAAUUCCUAGUGUAGCGGUGAAAUGCGCAGAUAUCAGGAAGAACACCGGUGGCGAAGGCGGGUCUCUGGGCCGUUACUGACGCUGAGGAGCGAAAGCGUGGGGAGCGAACAGGAUUAGAUACCCUGGUAGUCCACGCCGUAAACGAUGAGUGCUAGGUGUUAGACCCUUUCCGGGGUUUAGUGCCGCAGCUAACGCAUUAAGCACUCCGCCUGGGGAGUACGACCGCAAGGUUGAAACUCAAAGGAAUUGACGGGGGCCCGCACAAGCGGUGGAGCAUGUGGUUUAAUUCGAAGCAACGCGAAGAACCUUACCAGGUCUUGACAUCCCUCUGACCGCUCUAGAGAUGGAGAUUUC
This 517-nucleotide ribosomal RNA is filed under the name uncultured bacterium. RNAcentral describes it as "bacterial SSU rRNA". It matches the Rfam family "Bacterial small subunit ribosomal RNA", at positions 501 to 1016 of the family's 1533-position model. The record is from RNAcentral.